This 75-nucleotide transfer RNA is filed under the name Metamycoplasma hyosynoviae. Its description in RNAcentral is "Mycoplasma hyosynoviae tRNA-Gln". It matches the Rfam family "tRNA". From Rfam's summary of the family: Transfer RNA (tRNA) molecules are approximately 80 nucleotides in length. The record is from RNAcentral. Lineage: Bacteria; Bacillati; Mycoplasmatota; Mycoplasmoidales; Metamycoplasmataceae.
UGCCCCAUAGCCAAGCGGAAAGGCAGCGGUUUUUGGUACCGCCAUCCGUUAGUUCGAAUCUAACUGGGGCAGCCA